UGGGGAAUUUUGGACAAUGGGCGAAAGCCUAAUCCAGCAAUGCCGCGUGUGUGAAGAAGGCCUUCGGGUUGUAAAGCACUUUUGUCCGGAAAGAAAUGGCUCUGGUUAAUACCUGGGGUCGAUGACGGUACCGGAAGAAUAAGGACCGGCUAACUACGUGCCAGCAGCCGCGGUAAUACGUAGGGUCCAAGCGUUAAUCGGAAUUACUGGGCGUAAAGCGUGCGCAGGCGGUUGUGCAAGACCGAUGUGAAAUCCCCGAGCUUAACUUGGGAAUUGCAUUGGUGACUGCACGGCUAGAGUGUGUCAGAGGGGGUAGAAUUCCACGUGUAGCAGUGAAAUGCGUAGAGAUGUGGAGGGAAUACCGAUGGGCGAAGGCAGCCCCCUGGGAUAACACUGACGCUCAUGCACG
RNAcentral lists this ribosomal RNA (409 nucleotides) under uncultured bacterium. RNAcentral's name for it is "partial 16S ribosomal RNA". It matches the Rfam family "Bacterial small subunit ribosomal RNA", at positions 355 to 755 of the family's 1533-position model. The record is from RNAcentral.